Capsicum annuum is the source of this 1452-nucleotide long non-coding RNA. RefSeq lists it as uncharacterized. Lineage: Eukaryota; Viridiplantae; Streptophyta; Magnoliopsida; Solanales; Solanaceae. The transcript is spliced from 3 exons. The record is from RefSeq and is a predicted model, not a curated record.
CCAAUCAAAUCUGAUCUAUCUUUAACGCUUAGCUUCUUCAUUUCUUUCAUAGCAGCACUAUAGCAGGGAUGGUUCAAUCAAGAUCGGCGAUGGAUGUGUUUUAGUAUAUAUAUACUAUUUUUACUCGUCCUAUAUCUUGUUGAUGAUACCCAUUCAUUACUGUGUUGUUGGAUUUUGGUUUGAUUUGAUAUUUGUAUGUGUGUGUGUGUAUGCUUGUCCUAAGAGUAAUGUAAAGCACACUUAAGACUGAAAGAUGGGAGUUGGAGAAAGGGCCUUUGUAGUGAGUAAACUGACUUUCCUGUAAUGCAAGCAUCUGCUCCUAAGAAUUUGAGGCAAAAAAGGUUUUGCUACUACUAGACACUCCACUAAAUAUGCUUGUUAGGUGAGCAAGGGGCCUAUGCAGAACUAUCAAUAGCUGUUAUCUGACCUCCUUAUUAAUCAAUACUCCUAGCGACCGGAUAGGACACUCUAUGUACUUCCUAGGAGCCUUUAUCACUUUCGAACCUCUAGUCUUCUUUGGAAACUGUUUUUAAACUGAGAAAGAAAGUCCAUUCUGUAGCCUCAACCAAUUCUUUUAGGAUUCAUUUGACAAGUGGAAGAAACCAUUUGGUGCUACUAUACGAACACUUAAUACUUUUAGCCCAAAUAUAUUCCCUUCUGGAGGCUGCAAUACUUGUAAAUUUUAGUUUUCAUGGCACUAAAUAUUCUAUUUCCAGGGAAUUUGAAUUUUUUGAAAAAGGUUCCCACUUUAUGGAGAUAAUUUCUUCCUCACAUGAAGGCUUCUCUUCUUUGUAACAGUUCGAUCUAAAUCCCUUAUGACCUUUUUGAUAAUACAGAUGCAGAUGCACUUUUAAGGAAACUUCUAGCAGUCCAAAGCGUUCUUUUAUUUCAUAAAAGUAAGAAGACCUUAGUACGAUGAUGCAGCUGAAAACCUAUUCCCUCUAGAUUUGCUUGAAAUGCUUCAAGUCAUAUAAGAUGUAAAACUGUGAGUUACGUUGAUCUUCUUUCUAAGCUGCCAUAAUUACGGAGUGCUGCUUCGUCUGUUAAGCUUGCCCGUAUGUAUACAAGAAGCAUACCAAAAGUGAAUAGUCACCUAUUUUUGCACUAAACUAAAGUUUUAUUGGAAAUCCCUGCUUUAGCCAUUCUGAUGACACAGUAGAAACAGUUUCAACUGCUUUUAAAUUAUACCCGCAAUAGCUGAAAACAGGAGGAUCUCACUGUUGAUAUUAGUAUCCUUUGCAGAAGGCUGUAACUCCCCGUUACGCGUAGGCGUAACCCUGGCCUUUGCUCACACAAGUGGACUAGCUUUUGAUAAUCUGGCGUUGUUCAGUCCCACAGGGACCAAGUAAACUGCAUCUUCGAAAGAUAUAUUUUUGUUCAGUCCCACAGGGACCAAGUAAACUGAAUACAAUGAUAUUUUUGUUAGCAAUGAUGAAUAUUGCAUUUGCUGAA